UCGUCAGCUCGUGUCGUGAGAUGUUGGGUUAAGUCCCGCAACGAGCGCAACCCUUGUUAUUAGUUGCCAGCAUUAAGUUGGGCACUCUAAUGAGACUGCCGGUGACAAACCGGAGGAAGGUGGGGAUGACGUCAAGUCAUCAUGCCCCUUAUGACCUGGGCUACACACGUGCUACAAUGGGCAGUACAACGAGAAGCAAGCCUGCGAAGGCAAGCGAAUCUCUGAAAGCUGUUCUCAGUUCGGACUGCAGUCUGCAACUCGACUGCACGAAGCUGGAAUCGCUAGUAAUCGCGGAUCAGCGCGCCGCGGUGAAUACGUUCCCGGGCCUUGUACACACCGCCCGUCACACCAUGGGAGUCUGCAAUGCCCAAAGCCGGUGGCCUAACCUUCGGGAAGGAGCCGUCUAAGGCAGGGCAGAUGACUGGGGUGAAGUCGUAACAAGGUAGCCGUA
Molecule: ribosomal RNA, 451 nt
Filed under: uncultured bacterium
Lineage: Bacteria
Description: bacterial SSU rRNA
Rfam family: Bacterial small subunit ribosomal RNA
Source: RNAcentral